AACGCUGGCGGCAGGCCUAACACAUGCAAGUCGAGCGGAUGACGGGAGCUUGCUCCUUGAUUCAGCGGCGGACGGGUGAGUAAUGCCUAGGAAUCUGCCUGGUAGUGGGGGACAACGUUUCGAAAGGAACGCUAAUACCGCAUACGUCCUACGGGAGAAAGCAGGGGACCUUCGGGCCUUGCGCUAUCAGAUGAGCCUAGGUCGGAUUAGCUAGUAGGUGAGGUAAUGGCUCACCUAGGCGACGAUCCGUAACUGGUCUGAGAGGAUGAUCAGUCACACUGGAACUGAGACACGGUCCAGACUCCUACGGGAGGCAGCAGUGGGGAAUAUUGGACAAUGGGCGAAAGCCUGAUCCAGCCAUGCCGCGUGUGUGAAGAAGGUCUUCGGAUUGUAAAGCACUUUAAGUUGGGAGGAAGGGCAGUAAGUUAAUACCUUGCUGUUUUGACGUUACCGACAGAAUAAGCACCGGCUAACUCUGUGCCAGCAGCCGCGGUAAUACAGAGGGUGCAAGCGUUAAUCGGAAUUACUGGGCGUAAAGCGCGCGUAGGUGGUUCGUUAAGUUGGAUGUGAAAGCCCCGGGCUCAACCUGGGAACUGCAUCCAAAACUGGCGAGCUAGAGUAUGGUAGAGGGUGGUGGAAUUUCCUGUGUAGCGGUGAAAUGCGUAGAUAUAGGAAGGAACACCAGUGGCGAAGGCGACCACCUGGACUGAUACUGACACUGAGGUGCGAAAGCGUGGGGAGCAAACAGGGUUAGAUACCCUGGUAGUCCACGCCGUAAACGCUGUAAAGUGGCCGUUGGAAUCCUUGAGAUUUUAGUGGCGCAGCUAACUCAUUAAGUUACCGC
Molecule: ribosomal RNA, 844 nt
Filed under: Pseudomonas mosselii
Lineage: Bacteria; Pseudomonadati; Pseudomonadota; Gammaproteobacteria; Pseudomonadales; Pseudomonadaceae
Description: bacterial SSU rRNA
Rfam family: Bacterial small subunit ribosomal RNA
Source: RNAcentral